AGGCGACAACGGGUAGCUGGUCUGAGAGGAUGGUCAGCCACACUGGAACUGAGACACGGUCCAGACACCUACGGGUGGCAGCAGUCGAGAAUCAUUCGCAAUGGGGGAAACCCUGACGAUGCGACGCCGCGUGGAGGAUGAAGGCCUUAGGGUUGUAAACUCCUGUCAAGAGGGAAUAAGCAAGUGAAGGUACCUCUAGAGGAAGGGGCGGCUAAUUCCGUGCCAGCAGCCGCGGUAACACGGAAGCCCCGAGCGUUGUUCGGAUUCAUUGGGCGUAAAGGGUGCGUAGGCGGCGCGGAAAGUCCGGCGUGAAAGGCAAAGGCUCAACCUCUGGACUGCGUUGGAUACUUCCGUGCUUGAGGACUGGAGGGGAGACUGGAAUUCACGGUGUAGCAGUGAAAUGCGUAGAUAUCGUGAGGAAGACCGGUGGCGAAGGCGAGUCUCUGGACAGAUCCUGACGCUGAGGCACGAAGGCUGGGGAGCCGGACAGGAUUAGAUUACCUGUGGUAGUCCGCGCGAGUAAACGAUGUGAGCUUGAUCUGUGGGGAUUCGACCCCUUCGGUGUCGAAGCUGACGCGAUAAGCUCUCCGCCUGAGGAGUACGGCCGCAAGGGUGAAACUCAGAGAAAUUGACGGGGACCCGCACAAGCGGUUGAGUAUGUGGCUUAAUUCGAUGCAACGCGAAGAACCUUACCUGGCCUUGACAUGCAUUGUGUCGUCGGUGAAAGCCGGCUAGUCCUGGAAACAGGACGCUUUGCACAGGCGCUGCAUGGCUGUCGUCAGCUCGUGUCGUGAGAUGUUGGGUUAAGUCCCGCAACGGGCGCAACCCUUGUGGUCAGUUACUAACCGGCUUAGCCGGUGGACUCUGGCCAGACUGCCCUGUCAAACGGGGAGGAAGGUGGGGACGACGUCAAGUCAGUAUGGCCCUUAUGGCCAGGGCUGCACACGUACUACAAUGCCCGGUACAAUGUGAACCGAAACCGCGAGGUGGAGGAAAUCGCUCUUGAAAACCGGGCCCAGUUCGGAUUGGAGUCUGCAACUCGACUCCAUGAAGUCGGAAUCGCUAGUAAUGGCGUAUCAGCAACGACGCCGUGAAUACGUUCCCGGGUCUUGUACACACCGCCCGUCACAUCAUGGAAGUCUCCUGUACCCGAAGCACGUGC
RNAcentral lists this ribosomal RNA (1162 nucleotides) under uncultured organism. RNAcentral describes it as "bacterial SSU rRNA". It matches the Rfam family "Bacterial small subunit ribosomal RNA", at positions 271 to 1433 of the family's 1533-position model. The record is from RNAcentral.